Molecule: long non-coding RNA, 435 nt
Organism: Neogale vison (American mink)
Lineage: Eukaryota; Metazoa; Chordata; Mammalia; Carnivora; Mustelidae
Exons: 3
Source: RefSeq, a predicted model, not a curated record
CCAAAGUUGUCAUGGUUCCAUUAUUCCAGGGGUGAGAUUGUCCAAAUUUUCUCUCUUCUGAUAAAAGGGGAGGAUUCAAACUCCCUCCCCUUUUCCUCCUUCCAGCUCACCAAGGCAGAGAUACCUCAGAAGUACUUUAUGUUUUAAAAAUUGUGAACUACAAGACUUCCCACCUCAAGCAAUUGAGGGACUGGCUGACGGUUCUUUAUCUGCUCUUUAUGUUCUUGAAAGAGUAUUCAAUUAGGAAGUGAGGAGACUGGCUUUGCCACCAACUCAUAAUCAUGAAGGUCCGAAAAAGCAGCUCAGAAGGCAAGUGGUUUCUCAAGGUCCACAGUGGGACUUCAGCCUCAUUUAUUAAGCAGCAGAGUUUUAGAAGUCUUAAUGCAGAAAUGAGUAAAGACCAAGGGGUGAAUGAAGACAGGGUUCGUCCCCCUC